RNA transcript from Dermochelys coriacea (leatherback sea turtle), 11200 nucleotides. RefSeq lists it as uncharacterized. The record is from RefSeq and is a predicted model, not a curated record. The transcript is spliced from 7 exons. Lineage: Eukaryota; Metazoa; Chordata; Testudines; Dermochelyidae.
CAGAGAACAUGAAAAAAAUGGGUGUUGCCAUACCAACUGUAACAAGACUAAUCAAUUAAGAGCACUCUUGGAAAUGGAAUCUUCAGCUUCAAAGGUUUGAUCUGUCCUUGCAAACUCAAGUACAAUCGAAAAGAGUAGAGCAAGUAUCUCUCAAGUUGUGCAGAGUCAAUCACCUGUAACUUUAAGGAUAUUACAUCAUACAGCCUUCAUGGAAUUUCACAUGUAAGCAUCAUGCACGUUAUAAUUCAUUUAAUUUAAAGUGAUUUAUUUGAAAGAAGAAUGGAAGAACAACAGCAAACAAACAAAAAAAUGAACAAUGUGGAAAAACUAAGUGCCAAGCAGUCAGCAGAGCAGUACCCUAAAACAUUUCAUGAAAAUGGAGGAAAGUAGUUUUGGGCGUCAUGCAAUGUACCUUUUGAUUUCACGAGACAGGCUAGCUGUGAUGCGCAUUUUGAAAGUGCAACUCAUAAGUGAAAAUGAGAGACAUUAAAAAUGGACAAAGAUAGAAAUUAAAAAAAGCAGAAAACAGCUACAGAGCUGUUUUGUAUCAAGACCGAGGAGCAGCUUUACAGGAGGAAUGAAGUGUUCAAAUUAAGAGAUGCUUUCUCUGCUGCAAAUAUACUUCUGCAUACCCUUGACAAUCCAAAACUGAGAGGGUUUUUAGAGAACAAGGUAGGUAUUACACCAAGUGCAGAUCAACUUAGAAAGUUUUAACUACCUGAAGAGUUUGACUGUCACAUUGAAGAAUUAAAGGAAAAGUUGCUGUCCUGUGAAGGAAUUAGCACUGUGGCAGAUGAAACUACCGAGGCUGAAGACUGGUAUGUGCCUAACAUUCUUGCCAUCCCCGUCCCAACAAGAAGUGACAAUGCAGACACUUCAGAUGCAGGUAAACACAAGCUGGAUGUUUUUGUGUUACAUUAUGAAGUUUUGGAAGCAAUCAAUUUUAAAACAGUCAGCAAAGCAACACGGGGAAACUUGAAAAAUUUGCAAUACCAUUUGAUCCCAUCACUGCAUUUGUGACUGCUAAUGCCAUGUACAUGGGGAAAGCUUGGCAUCAAGUUUUGAAACCUUUGUGUUUCAGUGCUGUACACCUUACAUGCAUGGCACAUUUACUUCACCUUUGGGCAAUCUGUGCAGGAAGAUACGCUUGAAAGUAAUUGAAUUAGUUGUGGCUGUAAAACGUGCGUUCACUGCCUGCCCUGCCAGAGAAGCCCGGUUCUGCAUGUUUCUAACGGAAAGAGGGAAAAGUCCUUCCAUUCCACCAACCCCCGUAAUAACCAGAUGGAACAGCUGGUUCAAUGCAGCUGUUUAUGACAUUGAUCACACUGAGGAUUAUGUUUCAUUUUUUUACAGAGGAGAAUGGUCAUAGCAGUAGUUCAGGUGUUCAAGAGUGUGUUGAUCUUUGCCAAUCCACAGCAGUUAUUGAAGAACUUCAGGCUCUAAGAGUUUGCACCCUGAUCAAGAACAUGCUUACAGCUUUUGAACAACACACAGUUCAUGCUCAUCAAGUCAAAAAUGAUAUGCAUGAUCUUGCACUGGGGGCAGAGAGCUGCUCUGAAAUUUGCCAACACCCAAGAGCAAAACCAGCACUCUUGGAAAGCUCAAAAAAAGUUCAUACAUGGACACUAAGUCAACCUCUCGCUUUCGCCAGCCUGCUGCCACUUUCUACAGUGCAUGCCGUGUAUUUGAGCCAAAUGAAGCAAAACACUUGGACAUUUGUGAGACCACAGUAUUUGAAAAUAUACCACUGUUUGAAGACAACAUUCCAGCACAAAUCUUAGAAUCACAAUUCACUGAGUGACACAUACUUCGCAACCAGGUUUUUCAAUUUCCAUUACACUUUUGGAUGUCACCUGGACUGGGUGCCUUGUCAGUUGGAAGGAUCUCUGACCUUUUAAAUAAGCAUUUUGACUGUUGUCUGCACAGAAGAUAUGCUGAACAGCACUUGCCAUCCUGAGAUCCCAAACACACUCUCAGACGCCAAUGGAUCAAGCCUCCCAAUGCCCUUGUGGGGUUGUCUCAUGGUCCUAGCAGACAGAAUAUUAACGCUGCCGGCCCAGUCUGGGGAAGCCAAAUAGGAACAGCAGAUCCAGCGCAGACACUUAAGAAAGGAACUUUUGAUGCAGAGUAUCUUGUUUUUUCCUGCAGAAGACACCAGUGAAUAACGAAGCCAAGUUGUAUGCGGGGGGACACACACACAAGAAUAUGCAUUGCCCACUGCGUGCCUUUGUUUUUGUUUGCUGAGUGCUACUGUUGUGACUUGCUUGUUGAAUGCUCUCUGCAGUAAUGAUGAGUGACUGGAGCAACAGUAAUUAUUUUUGAUCUCAGAGUAAACAGAAUAAUUAAAAUUAAUGAGUUUACAAUAUUUUUAAAUGGGGGAACUUGGUAUAUAGUGUUAGAAAAUAUAAUUAUUCUAUUACUAAACAGGGAUGCUGAGCAGCCAGCAUCUGAGCAAACACAACCUCUUCCAUACCAAUGGGCAAUCUGGUUAAUUGUAGCUUAUUUUAUGUGUUUAUAUGACCUUCUGUUGCCACAGUGUCUGAGCACCUCACAAUCUGUAAUUAUUUAUGCUCACAAACACCCCUGUGAGAUAGGGAAGUGCUACUCCCUCCUUUCACAGGUGAGGCACAGAGAGACUAAAUGACUUGACUAGGGUCAUAUAAGUCUGUGAAGUAGCUGAGAAUUGAACCAAGGACUUCUGGGUACCAGGCUAGUGCUCUAACCAAUGGAUGAUCCUUGUGGUAUGUCUUGGUGAUUGGUUUCUUUGUAAUUUUGGCAAAAGUCUGCUUUGCUAGACUGCUGUCAACUAGAAGGUUGCUGCAUACACAAACAGCCCUCUUAGAACCCACCCAUGAAAAAGGAGCCUGGAUCCCUGUCUCCAUCAGGCUCUUCUAUAGCAACAGCAAGAAAGUAGACACAUAGCGUUCUUCCUUGCUGCACCUCAUGGGCUUGAAGAACCUACAUCUUUUACUCAGGUAAAACGUCCACUGAAAUCAGUGGAAGUUCAGGCCAUGUGGACUCACUGCCUGUUCCCUCCUACAUGUUAAAUUGCUUUGAUCUCAGCUGAAAUAAUGCAGGAGUGUCCACUCUUACAGAGGAGUUUGAAAGAUGGUGGCUCAGCAAGUCAUCAAAUCUGUGCAUCUCACUCACCACCCUCUUCUGUCUCCCAGGUGGAUUCCCUGCUGUCUGCCUAGGUUUGUGACAAAUGGGUAUUAUUGGGGGCCUCGUAAUGAAAAAGUGCAUUGCCACUUCCUAUCAAAGAGGCCACGCUGCAGUCUGCCCAUCCAAAUGCACAGAGACUCUGAUGAAUUCAGGCUGCGUAGUGGCUACCGUUCUUUCAUUUGCUAUUAUUGCACGUCCGGAUACCCCUUAUUGCACUUGUCUGUUCUUCUCCACUAUAUCAUUUUGAUAGACGAGUUUUAGAGCAUUUUCUGACUGCCCAAAGUGAAAGUGUAAUUAGAUAUCUAAUUGGCUGCAGUACGUAUAGUUUAAAAGGUUAAAAAAUGCAUGUCUCUACCAUUAGAAUAAAGGCUUCUGCUAGACAUAAAUAUUGCUUUAAACUCUUUAACCUGCAUUGUUUCUAAAGCACCUGGCGAUAUGUAAAACUCUAACACAACUUAACAGAAGAAAUCAGUGAUGUAACUUUUCGGCAAUGAAUGUGCAACUCAUAAGUGAUGGUGUAGCUCAUAACUGAUGUAACCUUCUCUUUUAAUAUCUAUGUAAGGAAACAAUUUGUGCCAUCAACACUUCUGUUAACUUUAGUAGAACUCUCACACCUAGUCACGGGGCAUAAGUGGCUGUGCAGGGGCAUAAGAGGAAGUAAGAGACUGUCCCCUCCUCCCAAAACACCAACCACCAGCCUCCUCGCAUCAGAGCUAGAAGUGCAGGGUGGAAAGCAAGGGCCUCAUGCCUGUUAUUUCCCACCUCUGUGCUAAUGGGCAGGGAGUGGGUGGAGGGGAAGUUGCAAAUGGGUGUAGUCUCAGCUCCACCUCUAGUGUGCCAGCUGGGCCAGCCCUGGAGGCCAGACUACUUCCCCCUAGGAGCAGGGUGUAGCAGAGAAGGAAAUUUGCCUCUAAAACAAUUCCUUCCUUAUAGCCCUUACUGAGGGUUAGUUGGAAGUGGGCAAUCUGGCCCUUAGUGAUUUAAAUGUAAUCAGAAGUGAGGGAGGGUGCAAAUCAGAACCAUUCAUAUUGCUCUUCUGUUUCCUCCCACCCAACAUACAUCCCCCCCACACACUUUGUAGGGGGAUGGAGAAGGAAAAGUCAGGCCUGAACCCAUCCUACCCUGGGCUUUGCCCAACCAAAACUUCUUUUGCUUUUUAUCCAUAUCUUCUAGGAGUUUUCAAAUGGAAAUACUUCCCACUGGUUUUACUCUUUCAAAAGCAAACUCUCCAGAGUUUCAGAAAUUCUGCUUUGAAACUGGGUGAAACAACCUACAACUCUGCUGUGAGGACUAGCUGCUAGGACCUCAUCCAUAAUCUCUCUCCACACCCCCAUGAGUUGUAUAUCUAACACAUCACACAGGGGAAAGUUAGCUUCAUAUAAAUGCAUUCUCACUUCCCUGCUUUUACUCUAGGCUUCAGGAUAUACCAUAGCACAUCUCAUACCAUUAGGGAUCUCAGAUUGGUGGGAAAGAGCCACUUUUCUUAUUAAUUUAUUCAGACAGUUGGCAGAGGGAAAAUCCAUGGCACUUCAUAACUAUUAGAUGAGUCUAUUGGAUAUUGAGCUAAAUGUACCUGUGGCUAUAAGUCCAUUGACUGCAAUAAUGUGGCACACUAUUAGAAGAACUUCACCAGAAUGGUAGGUGUUGUGGACACUAAGCAUUUUUGGCUGAUGUCUAGCCACAUGGCAUCCUUCAUGGGGCCAUGCUCUUUUGUUCAACUGCAGCAAUAUGGUACGUAAUGUUACAAAAAUAUUCCCUUAGUCAAUUACCAACUGCUCCCCCCCCAAAAAAGGACCAGAGGUUCUAAACUUUUUUCUUUUCUCUCUCUCUGUGUGUGUCUGUGUGUGUGUGUGUGUGUGUGUGUGUGUGUGUGUGUGAGAGAGAGAGAGAGAGAGAGAGAGAGAGAAAUAACUCUGAAGUCCUCUGGGUACUAGGUUUAUUUGCUAUGUUUGUAGGCUGUUGAAAUACUUGGUGUUUUGCUUCUGAUCUGAAAAUGCAGAAAAAACACUGAAGGAGCUUUGUCGCUGAAGCUGUGCAAAUAUUCAAAUGAACCAACUAGCUUCCUGGACAAAUAUACUCUGGGUAUUGUGUGUCCCCUUUUAACAUCUCAUUCAUUAUCUUUUAGAAAAAAAACAGACUCCUCUUUCUCUGAAAUUUUAAAAGACUUUGCAGAGAAUACAUCUGGUGGUUUUUAAACGUAGCACAAUAGUUACUUUAACAUAUAGCCUGAAGAAAGAGUAUGCACGAGCAUUACAGUAUGUUUGAGAUAAGGACCAAGCCCCAUGUGCUUAGCAUACAGAGCCUGUGUUUAGUUUGAAGAAGUCAUGUUCAGCUUCUUUAAAAAAGCACUACUUACACGCAGUGAUGAGCUGCCAGAAGCUGAAGAACCAGUUCCUUCAGUUGCUCUGGGUCUUCAGCGGCACUGAAGAACCUGCUGCCAAAGUGCCGCCGAAGGCCUGGAGCGAAUGAAAGACCUGCCGCCGAAGGCCCAGAGUGAAUGAAGAACCCGCCACUGAAGUGCUGCCGAAGGCCCAGAGUGCCGCUGGGUGAGUAAAAAUUCUCAGACUGGGAGCUUCCCCAGCUGAGAGCUCAGGUAGGAUGGAAAAGACAGUCCCGCGGGCCACAGUUUGCUCACUCCUUUAACAACUGGUUCUAAACCGGCUUCAAAAUUUAACAACCAGUUCACGUGAACUGGCUCCAGCUCACCACUGCUUACAUGCCAUUAGAACAAGGGAUGGGGCUGAUAACCAGUCACUGUUCUACAUUCUUCAAUUGUGUGCCAUUUUUGGAAGUAUUCUUCAACUAUUUUCAGUGCUUUUCAUUAACAAAAUUGUUGAUCAUUCAAAUAAACAAACUGGUUCUGGAAAAUAGCCCUAAUUUCCGUGCAAUCUUUCUUCCUGACGCUCCUGGAGAACCAGUUAAUUUCUCAACAUUAGCUUCCAUUUUAAAUAGUUACAGUUAAGUUGGGUUUAAAUCUAGCAACAUUCACACCUUGGCCACAGUUUUGUGGGCUCUUACUGAGGACAGAAUUUGGCUCCUUGUGUCUAAAUUGGUGAAUAAUGCCAUAAAGAUAAACAGACUCAAUAAAUCAUCUUGUUUUAUAGUCAGAGAGUGAGAAGACCCCAGAUGUAGAGCAAAAUGCUAUUUGGGAUCCUGCUUGGGAUCAUGGUAGGGACUGUAGGCCCAAUAUCCUCGCCACGGCAUGAUACAGUAAUUUGAUUAUAGAAUGCUAUUUCAGUGUAAGAGCUGAAGUAGCAUUUAUUCCUAGAUUGUAAAUGUUUUUCUUUAUCCACUCUUACUUAGGGCAACUUCUUCUUUUAUGUAUAUUCAUAGGUCUCCUUAUCAUCUUAUUAUUAUUAUUAUUAUUUUUAUUGAUUGAUUGAAGUGCCUAGUUAGCCCAAGUAAUAGACCAGGAUCCCAUUGUGCUAGGCAUUGUACAAACACAGAACAGAAAGAUGGGCCCUCCCCCAAAGAGUUUAUAAUCUAAUGUGAGAGGAAGAAUGGCACACUGGAUACAGUGCUGGAGUGGAAAGGCAGGGGACUUGAGUUCUGUUUAUGGCUUUAUUAUUUUCUCACUGUGUGAAAACAGGCAAGUCACAAAACCUUCUCUGUGCCUCAGGUUUACCAUCUGUAAAUUGGGGAUAGUAUUACUUUUCUAUUAUUGUAAAAGAACUUUGAAACAAAAAAAAAGGACAAAAGUGUUGUGUACCAUUGUAAUGUCCCAUGCAACAGCAGACUUAACUUUCAUGAUUUAUUCUGGUUUCUUGUUAUCAAUUAAAAGUAGAUCUGUUUUUAUUAUUAUGGUCAGAUAAGUGCUGACUAUCUAGGAAAUAGAAAUAACAAUCCUUCCUUUCUCCUACUCUUUGUCUAUCUUAUCUGUGUAGAAUAUACAUUCUUGGGGGAAGGGAAUGUCUCUUAUGAUGUACAUGUUCACUGCCAAACGUAACAGAGUCCCUCUACGUGCUAUUGUAAUACAAAUAAUUAUUGAUCACCUCCAGGUUCUUAUAUUGUCACCCACCACUGAAUUAUCUGAGUACUAAUAAUUAUUUUUAAUACUUAGAUAUUUCAUUGUUUGAUAUUGUUAAUUCACAAUCAAAUUCCAUUGUGGAGGUUCCACUCUUUUCACUGAAGUAUUGAUCACUAUUCAUCAUAGUUUAUUCAACUGUAUGGAUGGUUGAUUUUUCAGUUAUGAUUUUUUCCAUGUUUCAGAGGAACCCAGAGGAUAUCUGGCAAUGGUUUUUAAAAAAAAAAGAAAAAAAAAAAAAGAAAAAAGCAACAUUAGAAAAUCCAAACAAGUGUUUUUUAAUCUGUAAAGAGCUUUAUUUUUAUAAAUGUCUGACUAAAUCUUACAUGUUGUUAUGACAUAUUAACACAUUGUGCUUUGCAAUCAAUACAUUUCAUCCAAAUUUAACAAAGGAUUCCAAAUGUGUUUUUAACUAGGAACAAUCAUUUGGAAAUGUGCAAGUAAUUGGGAAAAAUAGGUCAACUGUCAGUUACUCUUUGCAAAUGCUAUUUAUUACAGUUGCUACAGUUAUGAUGUCUUUUUAUGAAGCUUCUAAUCUUUGUCCUGUGGUCCUAUUCUCUCUGAACAAAUUAGCAAGAAGAUGAAUUUCAUUGUGCAGCCUUCAUUUUGCAUGCUAGGAGACUCUGAAAUGGUUUCUAAUGGACCCUCUGGUCCCACCCCUCCCAUUGCUACCCCAUUAUUGUGGUUUGCAGGCAGCAUGUGCAGGUGGUGAUAAUGCACUCACACCUCUUCCUGGCUUAUACAAUUUGCAUAUGACAUUUUCUCUGAAAAUUGCCUGAUGCCAUGAGAAUUAGCUGACCUGAGCUGAAAGUAAAGGGCGGCUAUUUCCCUCUUGUUAUUGAGCACAAUUACACUAACUACCCAAACUAAUUUGGAGGGGAGGGAGAGAUAGCAAAGGAAAGGGUGGCAAAAGGAGGGGCCCCACAGGGGGGUUAUUAUGCAGGAUUAUAAAGUGGCAGGAGGCCAAGCACGCUUGCCAAGAUUAAUCUCUUUCGGGAAGUUGCCAGUCUGAAUGCUCAGGUAGUGCUUUCUGUUUGCUGAUUCAUGUGAUGGAAUAGGUAUCAGCCUCUCUCUCUCCUGGCUGAAGGUAAUAACUUGAGUGAGAGGAGACUGGGAAUAUCAAGAGGGCAAAAUAGAGCAGGAUUAAAUCAACAAUAUAAAACUCUGGAUAGGUUAGUCCUGAAGCUCCCAAGCAAACCUUUUGAGCCUGAUUUUCAAAACAUUACAUGCAAAAUUGUGCAUGCAAAUGGGGCAAUGAUUAUCGUUUGUUUAUUAUUUGACAGUUGGAUCCAUAACAAUCCAUUAGCAUGUCCAAAUGCCUGCUUUGCAUAAACAGUUGUGGCAACUAUACAUGUAUGUUAGUGUGACCUGUGUGUGUGCACAAUCAGAUUCUUAAUACAAUAAAAACGCAGUUGAGAAGCCUGAUGUACAGGUAUUGACUGGAGCAGGAACAGUAUAUGAAAGGGUAUGUCAGGAAAGAGGGAAAUUCUUUCACAAAUGUUCAGAAGUGUCCAAAGCAGUUUCACUGUGAGAAAUCAGAACGAGAAUAUAACACAUCUUUACAAAGUGGCCCCGGUGCAUGGCAAUAGCCACGCAGGUUGUGCUCACUUUGCAUUCUCAUGACCAACUGAUUUUUGCAUUCCAGUAAAUUAAUCCUGUGAAUAAGGAUGGAUUGUUCCAAUACAACUGCUAAGGGGAAGGAAUGGGGAAGUAUGACUAGCAAGAGUGAAAAAGAGACAAGGCCAGCUGCCUCACUCAGAGGACCGAGAUAAGAGUUUGAGAAUAAAAAGAAGCAUCCAUUUCUUUAAAGAGGAUUUUCACCUCUCAAAGAUGUAAACGUAAAAGAAAACCCCUUGUAGGUGUUCCUUUCACAAGAUGAACAAAUAACCUAGAGAAUGAUGAAUACCUCAUCACAUAGCUGAGAGCUUUUCUGUUUAAACUUCACAUAAUUGGCAGGGUACUAAACCUUGCCUUGCUGAGCCACAGACUCCUCUCCUUGGUGGCUGCAGGAGGAUCUCUAACUCCGCUGGGAGAGUUGUGAACAGUUUUUGAAGCCUCUGCUAUUCCAAAGACUGGGCUGCAGGGGGUACCAGCACUCUUCUCUGAUGGACUAGCUCAUGUCACCUCCACUAGUCCAAAGAGAAACUCCAGAGUCUAAUCCUAAAUCUAGAUCUUCUAUUUGGCAAUGCUAUGUGCUGCUGCCACAAAAUUGUUUUUGGCUCAGUCUCCCUUAUUCAAUGCUAUGGGCUUUAAGAGAGAGCCAUUGAUAGCAGUAAGGGUAAAAGAACAACAGAAGAAUAGAGCCGUGCUGAACUAUUUCUUACUAAAUUUCCUACCCCAGCUCAGGCUAUUGGUACUUCAUGUCUGCACAGGCACUUACUUUAUUUCACUAGCAUGUAAUAAAAUAUAAUUUAACUCAGAUAAAAAAAAUCCCAUGCGAUGUAUAUAAGAUCCAGAAAACUAUUUAGUACAAUCAUUGCUAAUAUGCUGCUUAUCGGUUCUAUGACAGUUCAGUGAAAAACUGCAGCCAUAUUUUCAGUCCGUGUAAUAGAUUAAGAUGAUAAAUCUGACAAGACCUGCCUAGCAAAGCUAGCAGUGAACUAACAAAUUCUUUUCUCCCCAUUAAGAAUGGCCUCCAUUGAUGGAGAGUCUUCACAUAACAGAAUGCUUUAUAUCUCCAGACAGCUGCUGAUAGAUGUAAAUUUGUGGCAGUCAUACGCAGAAAACUAAUAAGCUUGGAUGAUCAGGGAAUGCCACAAUAGUGACACUCCAUCACACGGUAAAAGCUGAUUAGUUUUGUGCGUAUGUGGCUGUCCCUUUGCCUGUCUAUUGGAAAGGUUUCAGAUAGGAAUAAGAAUGGUAAAGGCAGUGGCUCUUCAUUUCCCUCUGUGGAGAGAGUUGAGGAAAUGGGAAGGAGCCAAUUCUUCACCUUGAAAGUGGAGCAAAAUGGAACAUCAGUCAUGGAGGAUUCUGGGGUGACUGGAACAUUGGCUGUCCCCUUAACUCGGAUGGCAUGGCUGUGACUCCACGAGGAGGAGAGCAUGUCCUGAAGAUUGGGGCUAGGUCUGUGAGAAAAGGUUGGGGAGGCAGGUUGUAGCAAAAUUGGCUGAGGAAGUUAUCUGCAGCUGACAGAAGGGCCACAUGUCUGGGACAGUAGAACAGUUCUAGGGCAAUGCAAACAGUGCGCUGGCACACAGCACUCUCCAACUGUGGUAACUUCCAAGUUCGGGGCUGGGAGCAGUGGGAAUAAAUGAAUGUUUCUGUAGGAGUCUUGUGUGGAAAAGGGGUGAGAAGCAAGAAUCUCUUUGGGAGGGAUGGGAAGGAGAUAGAAGAAACUAUGCCCCCUCCCCCACAGGCCGUGAAUUUCCUCUAGGAAUAUGUCUAGUCCUGUAAUCCAAUAAAUAAUGUCACUGGGGGUGGAAACUGAGGAUCAUGGAAGGUGGCACUGUGGGAUUGAGGCACAGUGCUAGAAAUGAAUGAUUUGCUUACAUCUGGGACACAGAGAGGAUGGAGUUCAAGGGAAACCCUUACUUCCUCACAUUGAAGACUAACAGAUUUAUUUGGGCAUAAGCUUUCAUGGGUAAAAAACCCACUUCUUCAGAUGCAUUUGAAGAAGUGGAUUUUUUACCCACAAAAGCAUAUGCCCAAAUAAAUCUGUUAGUCUUUAAGGUGCCACCGGACUCCUCAUUGUUUUUAUGGAUACAGACUAACAUGGCUACCCCUCUGAUACUUCCUGACAUUAAUAUUUUAUUUUAAUGAAAAAAGUGCUCUAGUUUAAAACACCCAAAUUAUUUCAUGCACCCUCAAAGAAUGAGGGCAAAAUUGAGAGAAGCAGGUGGAUGUUCAGAGUAAAAAGUAAUGAUGUACAGAGUUUCUUGUGUUAAGUAAUGGUGGGCAGGAAGAACAAGCGCAGAGAGGAUACACAAAGAACUUAUAGAAAAUAUCUUGGGGAAAAAAGAGAGAGAAACAAAAGUCAUUCCCAUAGCAUGGUCAUCUAGUCUGACCUCCUGCAUA